RNAcentral lists this ribosomal RNA (507 nucleotides) under Glomus sp. MO-G4. RNAcentral describes it as "SSU rRNA". It matches the Rfam family "Eukaryotic small subunit ribosomal RNA", at positions 569 to 1082 of the family's 1831-position model. The record is from RNAcentral. Lineage: Eukaryota; Fungi; Glomeromycota; Glomeromycetes; Glomerales; Glomeraceae.
AGCAGCCGCGGUAAUUCCAGCUCCAAUAGCGUAUAUUAAAGUUGCUGCAGUUAAAAAGCUCGUAGUUGAAUUUCGGGACCAUCAUGUCGGUCGUGCCUAGGUACGUACUGGCAUUGUUGGUUUCUACCUUCUGACGAACCAUGAUGUCAUUUAUUUGGUGUCGUGGGAAAUCAGGACUGUUACUUUGAAAAAAUUAGAGUGUUUAAAGCAGGCUCACGCUUGAAUACAUUAGCAUGGAAUAAUGAAAUAGGACGUUUGAUUCUAUUUUGUUGGUUUCUAGGAUCGACGUAAUGAUUAAUAGGGAUAGUUGGGGGCAUUAGUAUUCAAUUGUCAGAGGUGAAAUUCUUGGAUUUAUUGAAGACUAACUACUGCGAAAGCAUUUGCCAAGGAUGUUUUCAUUAAUCAAGAACGAAAGUUAGGGGAUCGAAGACGAUCAGAUACCGUCGUAGUCUUAACCAUAAACUAUGCCGACUAGGGAUCGGAUGAUUGUAAUUUUUUAAUGACUCA